Non-coding RNA from Pseudomonas sp. G5(2012), 87 nucleotides. Lineage: Bacteria; Pseudomonadati; Pseudomonadota; Gammaproteobacteria; Pseudomonadales; Pseudomonadaceae. The record is from Rfam.
CUUGACGGUGGCUGUGCGCAGGGCGCCUUCGGGCGCGCCGGUUUUCGGUUUGCCCGGUCUACUAACCUGCGUACAGCCGCCACCCUU